Molecule: unclassified non-coding RNA, 198 nt
Filed under: uncultured Thelephoraceae
Lineage: Eukaryota; Fungi; Basidiomycota; Agaricomycetes; Thelephorales; Thelephoraceae
Description: sequence contains ITS1
Source: RNAcentral
CUGAACUGUCGACAUGGGUUGUUGCUGGUCCUCGAAAGGGGAUACGUGCACGCUCUGUUUACACAUCCACUCACACCUGUGCACCCUUGUAGUUCUAUGGCCUGGGGGCUCAUCCUCCUGCUGUGGUCCUACGUCUUUACACACACACACUAUGACAAGGUAUCAUGGAAUGUACAUCGCGUUUAACGCAAUACAAUA